RNAcentral lists this ribosomal RNA (373 nucleotides) under uncultured Boletales. RNAcentral's name for it is "eukaryotic LSU rRNA". The stretch from base 318 to 373 matches the Rfam family "Eukaryotic large subunit ribosomal RNA", at positions 1 to 56 of the family's 3401-position model. The record is from RNAcentral. Lineage: Eukaryota; Fungi; Basidiomycota; Agaricomycetes; Boletales.
AGUACGCUAUGUGAAUCAUCGAAUCUUUGAACGCAUAUUGCACUGGCAGUAAUUUGCCAGUAUACCUGUUUGAGUAUCAUCCGCCUCUCACUGACGUGACGCCGCUGCAAGGCGCGUCCGCCGGUGGACCUGAGUUUUCGGCCGUUGCAAGACGUCCGUGACUUGAAAUGCAGGCAUCGUGGUCGUUUCGAGCCAUCAGUGAUAGUGUCCUUGCCUCACGGCGAGUGUCUUGUUUCUGGUCGGCACAUAUCGGAGCGUCUGCGUGACGACUGAUGACAUUAGUGGGAGUGUCCUCGGGCACUCGACCAUCUAACCUUUGAUCUCAAAUCAAGUAAGAUUACCCGCUGAACUUAAGCAUAUCAAUAAGCGGAGG